AGAACGAACGCUGGCGGCGUGGAUAAGACAUGCAAGUCGAACGGGAUUUCAUGAGUAGCAAUACAAGUGAGGUCUAGUGGCGAACGGGUGCGUAACACGUGGAUACAUUCCGGGAAGCGGGGGAUAGCCCAGGGAAACUUGGAUUAAUACCGCAUGUGGUCGAAAGACUAAAGGCAGGGACCGCAAGGCCUGCCACUUCCCGAUUGGUCCGCGGCCUAUCAGCUAGUUGGCGGGGUAAAAGCCACCAAGGCUACGACGGGUAGCUGGUCUUAGAGGACGACCAGCCACACUGGAACUGAGACACGGUCCAGACACCUACGGUGGCAGCAGUCGAGAAUCUUUCACAAUGGGGGCAACCCUGAUGGAGCGACGCCGCGUGGAGGAUAAGGUCUUCGGAUUGUAAACUCCUGUCAUGUGUGAACAAGGUUGUCUUGUUAAUAGCGAGGCAAAUUGAUGGUAACACGAAGAGGAAGAGACGGCUAACGUCUGUGCCAGCAGCCGUA
Molecule: ribosomal RNA, 503 nt
Filed under: uncultured bacterium
Lineage: Bacteria
Description: SSU rRNA
Rfam family: Bacterial small subunit ribosomal RNA
Source: RNAcentral